GACGAACCGUGCGAACGUUGUUCGGAAUCACUGGGCUUAAAGGGCGCGUAGGCGGCUUCGCAAGUCAGGGGUGAAAUCUUUCGGCUCAACCGGAAACGUGCCUCUGAUACUGCGGAGCUCGAGGGGGAUAGGGGCGGACGGAACUUCCGGUGGAGCGGUGAAAUGCGUUGAUAUCGGAAGGAACGCCGGUGGCGAAAGCGGUCCGCUGGGUCCCUACUGACGCUGAGGCGCGAAAGCCAGGGGAGCAAAC
This 250-nucleotide ribosomal RNA is filed under the name uncultured bacterium. Its description in RNAcentral is "partial 16S ribosomal RNA". It matches the Rfam family "Bacterial small subunit ribosomal RNA", at positions 524 to 773 of the family's 1533-position model. The record is from RNAcentral.